RNAcentral lists this ribosomal RNA (376 nucleotides) under uncultured organism. RNAcentral describes it as "partial 16S ribosomal RNA". It matches the Rfam family "Bacterial small subunit ribosomal RNA", at positions 526 to 896 of the family's 1533-position model. The record is from RNAcentral.
GUACGGUGGCAAGCGUUGUCCGGAAUUAUUGGGCGUAAAGCGCGCGCAGGCGGUUCGUUUAAGUCUGAUGUGAAAGACCCACGGGCUCAACCGUGGAGGGUCAUUGGAAACUGGAGAACUUGAGUACAGAAGAGGAAAGCGGAAUUCCACGUGUAGCGGUGAAACGCGUAGAGAUGUGGAGGAACACCAGUGGCGAAGGCGGCUUUCUGGUCUGUAACUGACGCUGAGGCGCGAAAGCGUGGGGAGCAAACAGGAUUAGAUACCCUGGUAGUCCACGCCGUAAACGAUGAGUGCUAAGUGUUAGGGGGUUUCCGCCCCUUAGUGCUGCAGCUAACGCAUUAAGCACUCCGCCUGGGGAGUACGGCCGCAAAGGCUG